RNAcentral lists this ribosomal RNA (492 nucleotides) under uncultured bacterium. Its description in RNAcentral is "partial 16S ribosomal RNA". It matches the Rfam family "Bacterial small subunit ribosomal RNA", at positions 28 to 507 of the family's 1533-position model. The record is from RNAcentral.
GAUGAACGCUGGCGGCGGGCCUAACACAUGCAAGUCGAGCGAAAAGACAGUAAGAUUGCUCCUCUGAGGUUAGCGGGUGGCGGGCGAGUAAGAAGUGCAUCACCAACUUCUUAUACUGGGGUGAUAACGGGAAAAAGGUGCCACUAAUGCCUCAUAUGAUCAACGGGUGGGAUCAAUAGUGCUUCACGGCUUUGCCGUCACUAUUAGACGGUGCCGCGUUGGCUAGUUGGGUAGGUAAGGGCACACCAAGCCAAGGAUACGUAGCUGACCUGAGAGGAUGGUCAGCCACACUGGAACUGAGACACGGUCCAGACUCCUACGGGAGGCAGCAGUAGGGAAUCUUCGGCAAUGGGCGAAAGCCUGAUGCAGCAAUGCCGCGUGAGUGAAGAAGGUCUUCGGGUCGUAAAGCUCUGUUAUUAGGAAAGAACAAAUGUGUGAUAAUCCAUCGACGUCUUGACGGUACCUAAACAAUAAGCCCCGGCUAACUACGUG